GGAAAACCUUAGCCUUC
Molecule: transfer RNA, 17 nt
Filed under: Paludella squarrosa
Lineage: Eukaryota; Viridiplantae; Streptophyta; Bryopsida; Splachnales; Meesiaceae
Description: partial tRNA-Gly
Source: RNAcentral